RNAcentral lists this ribosomal RNA (253 nucleotides) under uncultured bacterium. RNAcentral describes it as "partial 16S ribosomal RNA". It matches the Rfam family "Bacterial small subunit ribosomal RNA", at positions 524 to 776 of the family's 1533-position model. The record is from RNAcentral.
UACGUAGGGGGCAAGCGUUGUCCGGAUUUAUUGGGCGUAAAGAGCGUGUAGGCGGUCAGGUAGGUCCGUUGUGAAAACUCGAGGCUCAACCUCGAGACGCCGAUGGAAACCAUCUGACUAGAGUCCGGAAGAGGAGAGUGGAAUUCCGAGUGUAGCGGUGAAAUGCGUAGAUAUUCGGAGGAACACCAGUGGCGAAAGCGACUUUCUGGGGCAUUCCUGACGCUGAGGUUCGAAAGCUCGGGGAGCAAACAGG